GAGGAAUAUUGGACAAUGGGUGAGAGCCUGAUCCAGCCAUCCCGCGUGAAGGAUGACGGUCCUACGGAUUGUAAACUUCUUUUGUAUAGGGAUAAACCUCUCUACGUGUAGAGAGCUGAAGGUACUAUACGAAUAAGCACCGGCUAACUCCGUGCCAGCAGCCGCGGUAAUACGGAGGGUGCAAGCGUUAUCCGGAUUUAUUGGGUUUAAAGGGUCCGCAGGCGGGCCGAUAAGUCAGUGGUGAAAUCUCAUAGCUUAACUAUGAAACUGCCAUUGAUACUGUCGGUCUUGAGUAAAUUAGAGGUAGCUGGAAUAAGUAGUGUAGCGGUGAAAUGCAUAGAUAUUACUUAGAACACCAAUUGCGAAGGCAGGUUACCAUGAUUUAACUGACGCUGAGGGACGAAAGCGUGGGGAGCGAAC
RNAcentral lists this ribosomal RNA (420 nucleotides) under uncultured bacterium. RNAcentral's name for it is "bacterial SSU rRNA". It matches the Rfam family "Bacterial small subunit ribosomal RNA", at positions 356 to 773 of the family's 1533-position model. The record is from RNAcentral.